RNAcentral lists this ribosomal RNA (433 nucleotides) under uncultured bacterium. Its description in RNAcentral is "partial 16S ribosomal RNA". It matches the Rfam family "Bacterial small subunit ribosomal RNA", at positions 29 to 506 of the family's 1533-position model. The record is from RNAcentral.
AGCGAACGCUGGCGGCAGGCCUAACACAUGCGAGUCGAACGAACCUUUCGGGGUUAGUGGCGGACGGGUGAGUAACACGUGGGAACGUGCCUUUAGGUUCGGAAUAACUCAGGGAAACUUGUGCUAAUACCGAAUGUGCCCUUCGGGGGAAAGAUUAAUCGCCUUUAGAGCGGCCCGCGUCUGAUUAGCUAGUUGGUUGAGGUAAUGGCUCACCAAGGCGACGAUCAGUAGCUGGUCUGAGAGGAUGAUCAGCCACAUUGGGACUGAGACACGGCCCAAACCCCCAGGGGGGGGAGGAGGGGGGAAUCUUGCGAAAGGGGCGAAAGCCUGACGCAGCCAUGCCGGGGGAAUGAUGAAGGGUUUAGGAUUGUAAAAUUCUUUCACCGGGGUCGAUAAUGACGGUACCCGGAGAAGAAGCCCCGGCUAACUUCGU